This 484-nucleotide ribosomal RNA is filed under the name uncultured bacterium. RNAcentral's name for it is "partial 16S ribosomal RNA". It matches the Rfam family "Bacterial small subunit ribosomal RNA", at positions 29 to 507 of the family's 1533-position model. The record is from RNAcentral.
AUUGAACGCUGGCGGCAUGCUUUACACAUGCAAGUCGAACGGCAGCGCGGGCUUCGGCCUGGCGGCGAGUGGCGAACGGGUGAGUAAUACAUCGGAACGUGCCCAGUAGUGGGGGAUAGCUCGGCGUAAGCCGGAUUAAUACCGCAUACGACCUGAGGGUGAAAGCGGGGGAUCUUCGGACCUCGCGCUAUUGGAGCGGCCGAUGGCAGAUUAGCUAGUUGGUGGGGUAAAGGCCUACCAAGGCGACGAUCUGUAGCUGGUCUGAGAGGACGACCAGCCACACGGGGACUGAGACACGGCCCAGACUCCUACGGGAGGCAGCAGUGGGGAAUUUUGGACAAUGGGCGAAAGCCUGAUCCAGCAAUGCCGCGUGUGUGAUGAAGGCCUUCGGGUUGUAAAGCACUUUUGGCGGGAACGAAAAGGACUGUGCCAAUACCACGGUUCGAUGACGGUACCCGCAGAAUAAGCACCGGCUAACUACGUG